GGACGAACGCUGGCGGCGUGCCUAACACAUGCAAGUCGAGCGAAUGAAGUUCCUUCGGGGAUGGAUUUAGCGGCGGACGGGUGAGUAACACGUGGGCAACCUGCCUCAUAGAGGGGAUAGCCUUCCGAAAGGGAGAUUAAUACCGCAUAAGAUUGUAGUAUCGCAUGAUACAGCAAUUAAAGGAGCAAUCCGCUAUGAGAUGGGCCCGCGGCGCAUUAGCUAGUUGGUGAGGUAACGGCUCACCAAGGCGACGAUGCGUAGCCGACCUGAGAGGGUGAUCGGCCACAUUGGGACUGAGACACGGCCCAGACUCCUACGGGAGGCAGCAGUGGGGAAUAUUGCACAAUGGGGAAACCCUGAUGCAGCAACGCCGCGUGAGUGAUGACGGCCUUCGGGUUGUAAAGCUCUGUCUUCAGGGACGAUAAUGACGGUACCUGAGGAGGAAGCCACGGCUAACUACGUG
RNAcentral lists this ribosomal RNA (463 nucleotides) under uncultured bacterium. RNAcentral describes it as "bacterial SSU rRNA". It matches the Rfam family "Bacterial small subunit ribosomal RNA", at positions 27 to 507 of the family's 1533-position model. The record is from RNAcentral.